AGGGCUUAGCUGCUUGUGAGCA
RNAcentral lists this non-coding RNA (22 nucleotides) under Dasypus novemcinctus (nine-banded armadillo). Its record names the gene dno-miR-27a-5p. Lineage: Eukaryota; Metazoa; Chordata; Mammalia; Cingulata; Dasypodidae. The record is from miRBase by way of RNAcentral. RNAcentral also lists the same sequence under 17 other names.